UACGUAGGGUGCGAGCGUUGUCCGGAUUUAUUGGGCGUAAAGAGCUUGUAGGCGGUUUGUCGCGUCGGCCGUGAAAUCUCCACGCUUAACGUGGAGCGUGCGGUCGAUACGGGCAGACUUGAGUUCGGUAGGGGAGACUGGAAUUCCUGGUGUAGCGGUGAAAUGCGCAGAUAUCAGGAGGAACACCGGUGGCGAAGGCGGGUCUCUGGGCCGGAACUGACGCUAAGGAGCGAAAGCGUGGGGAGCGAACAGG
RNAcentral lists this ribosomal RNA (253 nucleotides) under uncultured bacterium. RNAcentral's name for it is "partial 16S ribosomal RNA". It matches the Rfam family "Bacterial small subunit ribosomal RNA", at positions 524 to 776 of the family's 1533-position model. The record is from RNAcentral.